RNAcentral lists this ribosomal RNA (460 nucleotides) under uncultured bacterium. RNAcentral's name for it is "partial 16S ribosomal RNA". It matches the Rfam family "Bacterial small subunit ribosomal RNA", at positions 338 to 795 of the family's 1533-position model. The record is from RNAcentral.
CCUACGGGAGGCUGCAGUGAGGAAUAUUGGUCAAUGGGCGUAAGCCUGAACCAGCCAAGUCGCGUGAGGGAUGAAGGUUCUAUGGAUCGUAAACCUCUUUUAUAAGGGAAUAAAGUGUGGGACGUGUCCUAUUUUGUAUGUAUCUUAUGAAUAAGGAUCGGCUAACUCCGUGCCAGCAGCCGCGGUAAUACGGAGGAUCCGAGCGUUAUCCGGAUUUAUUGGGUUUAAAGGGUGCGUAGGCGGCCGUUUAAGUCAGCGGUGAAAGUCUGUGGCUCAACCAUAGAAUUGCCGUUGAUACUGGGGGGCUAGAGUGUGUUUGAGGCAGGGGGAAUGCGUGGUGUAGCGGUGAAAUGCUUAGAUAUCACGCAGAACCCCGAUUGCGAAGGCAGCUUACCAAGCCAUGACUGACGCUGAGGCACGAAAGCGUGGGGAUCAAACAGGAUUAGAUACCCUAGUAGUC